GCGGGCAUGGCGGAACUGGUAGACGCAUCGGACUUAAAAUCCGAAGUCGCAAGGCGUGCCGGUUCGAUUCCGGCUGCCCGCACCA
This 85-nucleotide transfer RNA is filed under the name Alphaproteobacteria bacterium. RNAcentral's name for it is "tRNA-Leu". It matches the Rfam family "tRNA". From Rfam's summary of the family: Transfer RNA (tRNA) molecules are approximately 80 nucleotides in length. The record is from RNAcentral. Lineage: Bacteria; Pseudomonadati; Pseudomonadota; Alphaproteobacteria.